Molecule: long non-coding RNA, 689 nt
Filed under: Astyanax mexicanus (Mexican tetra)
Lineage: Eukaryota; Metazoa; Chordata; Actinopteri; Characiformes; Acestrorhamphidae
Description: lncRNA (ENSAMXG00005007151.1)
Source: RNAcentral
UUGAACCACUCUAGAAACGACGUUGGACAGAUCGGUCGCUGUCUCUGCCGCUGCGAUCUCUCGAACAAAAGUCUAUUAAAGCUUUACUUCAGACUUUUUCAACACUGCUUCAUUUAUAGGACUUUUAAACAGCCUCUCCGGAGAUGAUCGGGAAAUACAACAUGUUGUUAGCGCUCUUCAUCAUCCAGCUGAAGCUGGCCUUGGCCGGAUUUUCUUGCCAUUCUUCAUUAAAUGAAAACGGCUCUGGUAGUAAUACUGUCACUGGUGACCAAGAAUGUAAUGAUUUCUCCUUCAAGGAUGAUCAUAGCAACGUGUUGAAGAUUGGCCAAGGACAGGCUGUCUUUGAAUUCCCCAAUUGUGUCCCAAAGAUCACGUUUUUCUGCAACAUGGUGAGAACUGCCAGCUAUCAUUUACAUUCAGAAGAGUGUUUACGUUGGUUUUUGAUGUGUGUAUGUUAAAAUAAGGGUGUGACUUGCUUGUUUGGAGUGAAAAAUGUUCAGAUGAUGUUUUAUAUUUAGUUUUAUAUACCAAACCAAACUCUUAUUUUACCUCAGAAAGAAACACAUUGAUUAACUAUUUACAGUACCACGAUUUUUUUGUAAUUGUUUCUAUAGUCUCUAGUGUAAUAAUAAUAAUAAUAAUAAUAAUAAUAAUAAUAAUAAUAAUAAAAGGGCUCUGGUCCAUUUGCA